UACGUAUGGGGCAAACGUUGUUCGGAAUCAUUGGGCGUAAAGGGCACGUAGGCGGGCCAUUAAGUUGGAUGUGUAAUCUUCAGGCUCAACCUGAUACCCGCAUCCAAAACUGGUGGUCUAGAGUCUCGGAGAGGAAGGCGGAAUUCUCGGUGUAGCGGUGGAAUGCGCAGAUAUCGAGAGGAACACCAAUGGCGAAGGCAGCCUUCUGGACGAUGACUGACGCUCAGGUGCGAAAGCGUGGGGAGCAAACAGG
Molecule: ribosomal RNA, 253 nt
Filed under: uncultured bacterium
Lineage: Bacteria
Description: partial 16S ribosomal RNA
Rfam family: Bacterial small subunit ribosomal RNA
Source: RNAcentral